RNAcentral lists this ribosomal RNA (449 nucleotides) under uncultured bacterium. RNAcentral describes it as "partial 16S ribosomal RNA". It matches the Rfam family "Bacterial small subunit ribosomal RNA", at positions 29 to 523 of the family's 1533-position model. The record is from RNAcentral.
AACGAACGCUGGCGGCAUGCCUAACACAUGCAAGUCGAACGAAGCCUUCGGGCUUAGUGGCGCACGGGUGCGUAACGCGUGGGAAUCUGCCCUUUGGUUCGGAAUAACAGUUGGAAACGACUGCUAAUACCGGAUGAUGACGAAAGUCCAAAGAUUUAUCGCCAGAGGAUGAGCCCGCGUAGGAUUAGCUAGUUGGUGUGGUAAAGGCGCACCAAGGCGACGAUCCUUAGCUGGUCUGAGAGGAUGAUCAGCCACACUGGGACUGAGACACGGCCCAGACUCCUACGGGAGGCAGCAGUGGGGAAUAUUGGACAAUGGGCGAAAGCCUGAUCCAGCAAUGCCGCGCGAGUGAAGAAGGCCCCAGGGUUGUAAAGCUCUUUUACCCGGGAUGAUAAUGACAGUACCGGGAGAAUAAGCCCCGGCUAACUCCGUGCCAGCCGCCGCCGUAA